GGGAUUGCCCUAGUAACGGCGAGUGAAGCGGCAACAGCUCAAAUUUGAAAUCUGGCCCUCGGGUCCGAAUUGUAAUUUGUAGAGGAUGCUUUUGGCGCGGUGCCUACCGAGUUCCCUGGAACGGGACGCCUUAGAGGGUGAGAGCCCCGUACGGUUGGACACCAAGCCUCUGUAAAGCUCCUUCGACGAGUCGAGUAGUUUGGGAAUGCUGCUCUAAAUGGGAGGUAAAUUUCUUCUAAAGCUAAAUAUUGGCCAGAGACCGAUAGCGCACAAGUAGAGUGAUCGAAAGAUGAAAAGCACUUUGAAAAGAGGGUUAAAUAGCACGUGAAAUUGUUGAAAGGGAAGCGUUUGCGACCAGACCUUUUCCCGGCGGAUCAUCCGGUGUUCUCACCGGUGCACUUCGCCGGGUUUAGGCCAGCAUCGGUUUUUGUAGGGGGAUAAAAGCUUUGGGAACGUAGCUCCCUCGGGAGUGUUAUAGCCCUUUGCAUAAUACCCUUACGGGGACCGAGGACCGCGCUUCUGCAAGGAUGCUGGCGUAAUGGUCGUCAACGACCC
RNAcentral lists this small RNA (555 nucleotides) under Xylaria sp. 070611CAA. RNAcentral's name for it is "eukaryotic LSU rRNA". It matches the Rfam family "Eukaryotic large subunit ribosomal RNA", at positions 71 to 650 of the family's 3401-position model. Lineage: Eukaryota; Fungi; Ascomycota; Sordariomycetes; Xylariales; Xylariaceae. The record is from RNAcentral.